CUAAUUUAUGGGCGAUUUUUUGGCUAAGAUUAAAUAUAGUAUUUAUUCUUAUCAGUUUAAUAUCUGAUAUAAAGAAUUAAAUUAUUUUUUUAUAAAAGAUAGUGUUAUCCGCACGUGCGUUCAUGUAUUAUAUUACACAUGCAAGCAGGGGUAAAGCCAUGUAUAGCUUUGGUGGGGCAGUUGCCCCAUCUCA
Molecule: small nuclear RNA, 193 nt
Organism: Zingiber officinale
Lineage: Eukaryota; Viridiplantae; Streptophyta; Magnoliopsida; Zingiberales; Zingiberaceae
Product: U2 spliceosomal RNA
Exons: 1
Source: RefSeq, a predicted model, not a curated record